UGGGGAAUAUUGCACAAUGGGGGAAACCCUGAUGCAGCGACGCCGCGUGAACGAAGAAGGUAUUCGUAUCGGAAAGUUCUGUCCUAUGGGAAGAUAAUGACAGUACCAUAGAAGAAAGCUCCGGCUAAAUACGUGCCAGCAGCCGCGGUAAUACGUAUGGAGCGAGCGUUGUCCGGAAUUAUUGGGCGUAAAGGGUACGCAGGCGGUUUAAUAAGUCGAAUGUUAAAGAUCGGGGCUCAACCCCGCAAAGCAUUGGAAACUGAUAAACUUGAGUAGUGGAGAGGAAAGUGGAAUUCCUAGUGUAGUGGUGAAAUACGUAGAUAUUAGGAGGAAUACCAGUAGCGAAGGCGACUUUCUGGACACAAACUGACGCUGAGGUACGAAUGCGUGGCGAGCAAACAGG
Molecule: ribosomal RNA, 403 nt
Filed under: bacterium
Lineage: Bacteria
Description: partial 16S ribosomal RNA
Rfam family: Bacterial small subunit ribosomal RNA
Source: RNAcentral